UACGUAGGGGGCAAGCGUUGUCCGGAAUCAUUGGGCGUAAAGCGCACGUAGGCGGAUCUUUAAGUCAGGCGUGAAAUCCUGGAGCUCAACUCCAGAACUGCCUUUGAUACUGAGGAUCUUGAGUUCGGGAGAGGUGAGUGGAACUGCGAGUGUAGAGGUGAAAUUCGUAGAUAUUCGCAAGAACACCAGUGGCGAAGGCGGCUCACUGGCCCGAUACUGACGCUGAGGCACGAAAGCGUGGGGAGCAAACAGG
RNAcentral lists this ribosomal RNA (253 nucleotides) under uncultured bacterium. RNAcentral describes it as "partial 16S ribosomal RNA". It matches the Rfam family "Bacterial small subunit ribosomal RNA", at positions 524 to 776 of the family's 1533-position model. The record is from RNAcentral.